Molecule: ribosomal RNA, 253 nt
Filed under: uncultured bacterium
Lineage: Bacteria
Description: partial 16S ribosomal RNA
Rfam family: Bacterial small subunit ribosomal RNA
Source: RNAcentral
UACAGAGGUCUCAAGCGUUGUUCGGAUUCAUUGGGCGUAAAGGGUGCGUAGGCGGCGCGGUAAGUCGGAUGUGAAAUCCCGGGGCUCAACCCCGGAACUGCAUUGGAUACUGCCUUGCUAGAGUACUGGAGAGGGAACUGGAAUUUACGGUGUAGCAGUGAAAUGCGUAGAGAUCGUAAGGAAGGCCAGUGGCGAAGGCGAGUUCCUGGACAGUGACUGACGCUGAGGCACGAAGGCCAGGGGAGCAAACAGG